ACUCCGUACGGGAGGCAGCAGGUGGGGAAUAUUGCACAAUGGGCGCAAGCCUGAUGCAGCCAUGCCGCGUGUAUGAAGAAGGCCUUCGGGUUGUAAAGUACUUUCAGCAGUGAGGAAGGUGGGUAUGUUAAUAGCAUAUUCAUUUGACGUUAGCUGCAGAAGAAGCACCGGCUAACUCCGUGCCAGCAGCCGCGGUAAUACGGAGGGUGCGAGCGUUAAUCGGAAUUACUGGGCGUAAAGCGCAUGCAGGUGGUUUGUUAAGUCAGAUGUGAAAGCCCGGGGCUCAACCUCGGAAUUGCAUUUGAAACUGGCAAACUAGAGUACUGUAGAGGGGGGUAGAAUUUCAGGUGUAGCGGUGAAAUGCGUAGAGAUCUGAAGGAAUACCGGUGCGAAGGCGGCCCCCUGGACAGAUACUGACACUCAGAUGCGAAAGCGUGGGGAGCAAACAGGAUUAGAUACCCUGUAGGCUCUGC
Molecule: ribosomal RNA, 473 nt
Filed under: uncultured bacterium
Lineage: Bacteria
Description: bacterial SSU rRNA
Rfam family: Bacterial small subunit ribosomal RNA
Source: RNAcentral